GCCGCCGUAGCUCAGCUGGUAGAGCACCUCGCUGUUACGGUGAGGAGGUCUCGCCUGUUCACCGCAGAGACGAGGUUGUCCCAGGUUCGAACCCUGGCGGUGGCG
Molecule: transfer RNA, 105 nt
Organism: Halorientalis sp. IM1011
Lineage: Archaea; Methanobacteriati; Methanobacteriota; Halobacteria; Halobacteriales; Haloarculaceae
Rfam family: tRNA
About the family: Transfer RNA (tRNA) molecules are approximately 80 nucleotides in length. Their secondary structure includes four short double-helical elements and three loops (D, anti-codon, and T loops).
Source: Rfam